Molecule: long non-coding RNA, 203 nt
Organism: Ipomoea nil (Japanese morning glory)
Lineage: Eukaryota; Viridiplantae; Streptophyta; Magnoliopsida; Solanales; Convolvulaceae
Exons: 3
Source: RefSeq, a predicted model, not a curated record
AUAAUAUGAUGUAAUUAAGGAGUCCAGUUGGGUGACUCUUUCAAUCCAAGUUCCUUCAUUAUUUUUGAGUUUCAUGAUACAGUUUGCUUGUUGUUUUCGUCUAAUAACUUUGUGGAAGAAGCUAGAAUUUGUAUCACCAUCACGUAACCAGAACUGCUUAGCUCGUUGCCUCCAAUAGUUGUUUUGGUGCUGGAUAAUACGCA